CAGUCGCCACGGGAAUACGGAGGGAGCUAGCGUUGUUCGGAAUUACUGGGCGUAAAGCGCACGUAGGCGGUUAUUCAAGUCAGAGGUGAAAGCCCGGGGCUCAACCCCGGAACUGCCUUUGAAACUAGAUGACUGGAAUCUUGGAGAGGUCAGUGGAAUUCCGAGUGUAGAGGUGAAAUUCGUAGAUAUUCGGAAGAACACCAGUGGCGAAGGCGACUGACUGGACAAGUAUUGACGCUGGGGUGCGAAAGCGUGGGGAGCAAACAGGAUUAGAUACCCCAGUAGUCCCUGUCUCUUAUAC
RNAcentral lists this ribosomal RNA (301 nucleotides) under uncultured bacterium. RNAcentral describes it as "partial 16S ribosomal RNA". It matches the Rfam family "Bacterial small subunit ribosomal RNA", at positions 509 to 807 of the family's 1533-position model. The record is from RNAcentral.